AUUACCAGCCCUCUGUCAGGUGCCCCCAUGUUUGCGGGAGAAUCGGGAAUGCGGUGAAAUUCCGCAACGUGCCCAACGCUGUGAGGUGGAUGGUUGUUGCUUUUGCCACUGGUGAAAACCGGGAAGGUGCGGCAACCAAAUGAAACCCAGUCAGAAGACCGGCCUGACAUGAUAGACGCCA
This 181-nucleotide non-coding RNA is filed under the name Gillisella vitis. RNAcentral also lists the same sequence under 1 other name. Lineage: Bacteria; Pseudomonadati; Pseudomonadota; Alphaproteobacteria; Hyphomicrobiales; Rhizobiaceae. The record is from RNAcentral.